GAGCCACGGCCCACCCCAUGUUUCUUCUUUAGAUCAGAUUCAUCCGCCUCUGUUCUCCCCACGAAUGCAGGGAUCAGCGCCGCCAAGAUUGGGGGAGGCCGCCUCGCCCGCCGAGAUCGGAUCGACCAAAUCAAGCAGCCCCGCGAACAGUCUACUCUCUUCUCCCCCAGAUUACAACGAUCGGCGACGGAAGAUUGGAGGAGGCCGCUCCACCGUCCGGGCUCGGAUCCAUCGCAUCAACCCACCCCGGGCGCACUCGGAUCUCUUCCCCCCAAUUGCAGCGACCGACCACGACUCUCGGUUCAGUUUAAAUACUCAUGCACAACCUGGAUUUUAGACGAUAUGCUGACUGACUAUAGAGAGUUUCGAACCAAGUCAAGGCAUGGGGAGGAGUUAGGCGCAAGACUCGAAGCAUAAGAUAGAGAAUUUGAAGAAAUGCAUGGGGAGGAUCAAGAAGAAGCAAAAGGAGAUAAAUAACCUAAUUGGUUUUCUCUUCAGGGCUCAAGCAACUUAAUAGUCAUAGCCCAAACCUGAUGAGUCCCAGUCCAAACCUAUUGGUGCAUGAAGGCCAUUCUUUUGUGAUGGAAAGAUAGUUGCAAUCGCCACGACAACGCUUUUGGUCAUUUAGUUGUCUAUUUAAAAGAUGAUUGGGCUGAGAUGAUAGAAUAUAUAAUAUUAUUUUUAUUCCUUUUAAAUUUGUAAUGUGA
Molecule: long non-coding RNA, 707 nt
Organism: Triticum aestivum (bread wheat)
Lineage: Eukaryota; Viridiplantae; Streptophyta; Magnoliopsida; Poales; Poaceae
Exons: 3
Source: RefSeq, a predicted model, not a curated record